Juglans microcarpa x Juglans regia is the source of this 2167-nucleotide RNA transcript. RefSeq lists it as uncharacterized. Lineage: Eukaryota; Viridiplantae; Streptophyta; Magnoliopsida; Fagales; Juglandaceae. The record is from RefSeq and is a predicted model, not a curated record. The transcript is spliced from 6 exons.
AGUUUGCUGAGCUUCAUUCAUAAACGUUACAAAAAAAAGGUCUGUUCGUGUGGUUGCUACCAAAGUCAAAGUCAAGUACCACGUUUUAAGAAUCACAUCGUACAUUAUUUUCUAAAGCAAGUGCUACCUUAAGAUAACAAUGAUGUCUUUGUUGACUAUUAUGUUCGAUAUUUUUGUGUAUUUAGAUGGAAGUUUCAUCUUCCUCUACUUUAAUUACAUAACUUGUUCAAUUUUGCUCCCUCUUUUCGAGUCUUUUCUCUGUAAAUGAGUUUGAUUUCGAUCUGAGUUUUAAAGUGAAAGUGGGCCGUAGAGCUUAAUGCCUAUGGAACGAGUCCAGCCCAUAUCGGAUCCAAGAUCAUCCUCAACGGUCCUCUCCAUCGAGUGCCUCAAAGGCAGCUCCAAAGCCGACGAGUGGACCGGCGAUUUCCUCCAAACCGGCGACAUAGUCGAGGAGCUCCGCAUCGGCAACCCCGGCUCCCGCCGAGUCAACAGCUCCGGUUCGACCCUCAUAUUCACGGCGCCGUUCAAGAACGGCAGGAGCGGUGUCCAGAAGGUUCUCCACGACGCGUUCAAGAAGAAGGAGACCUCGAUUCUCGUCCGAGUUCGCAGGGGAGCGGAUGAGCUCGCCGAGUUACAGGCUUGCAUCGUGCCCAAUGAAUCGGCGGGGAAGAAACAGUACAUGCUCAGGUCGAUCGCUGAUCCGAAUUACACCGUUGGGUUCUUGGAUCGAACGGAAUCUGAUUGCCUCGAGCUUCAAGCUUCAAGGAGUGCCAGGAUGGUUACUGCACUAUCCAGCACUCGCCUUCAAGAUGGAUAUGUUGCAUAUCCAUGGGAGAGGAGGAUGCAGGAGUGCCUAUCAGUUCCAUUUUCAAGCUGCUUUCUUUCUGUACUUCUCCUUCCAAAAGCUUCAGAUCAAGUUGCUUCUCGCUACAAUGAUUUGGAAGAUACCCUUGCUAGGGCAAAUGCAUGGCUUAAUGCGUCUCAGGCCUCUGGGGUUCCUAUUGUCUUCAUGAACAUCCAGACUGAGUCUCUGCUUACCAAGAUCUCUGGAGAAACUGCUUCUUCCACAGUGAAUGCCGGAUCCUUAUCUGAUUUGUCUAAUCUUGCAAAUGCAAGUCUAUAUGGUUUUGAGGAUUACCACGGGGUGGACAUUGGUGUAGUUAAAGCAGUUCGUCUCUGGUAUGCACCUCUUGGAGGAGAGCUUGCAAUUGAGAUCAAGCUAAAAGAAGGCGACACAAAGCUUGGGUUUGCCAUUAGCCGCACAGAAGAGGGAUUUAUCUUCAUCUCAUCAGUUAUUGAUGGUGAUGAAAAUGCUCCUUCAACCCGGUCAGGGCUGGCGAAUUUGUACAAAGAAGCUACAAAUGCAUCUAGGCUGCUGCUGGUCUCACGAGUUGGCAAUCAGAAGGUCCUUCCAUGGAUGGUUUCUUCCACAGGAGCAAUUCGAUGCUUUGACACUGUUUCAGUCAGCCAAAAGCUUUCAUUGCACCGGCACGCCAAGGUUCCCAUUCUCUUGCAUGUUUUACUGUGGGACCGAGGAUUGUCUAUUCCAAGCGGGGGCAAUAGAUUUAGGGCUCCAACACCAGGUGCCCUGCCCUUACCGCCUGAAGUUCAGUUAGCAUCCCAUCCAAAUGAUAAUCAAAUACAGCCGUUGACACCUGAAGUUCCUACUGGGAGUCGAGAAGUUAGUGCUGGAGCUGAGGUGAGGCUUGAGCGAGACACGGCUGGGGAGCUCUCCUUUAGAUUCCAUGAUUUUUCACUUUCAAGUAAUUGGAAUAGAAAGUAGAGGGAACUACCCGCAAGACAGAACUGCAAAUUGAAAGCAUGCAAGUCAUCAACUUCUUGUGUGGAGUGUAAAAUGGCUGCAGUCUUAAAAGCAUGCAGAUAUUGAAUUGUAGCCUCUUCACCCUGUGGAAGAUUGGAACUUGUUUCUUACUGAUGGGAUUGGCAGAGAGUUCAUGAAGUUAUGCGAUUUAAGCUGCUGUCUUGCUGCUUGUUCUGUUUGUAAGAUUUCAAAACUGGAAUGAAUUGGCAGCUUGAAAUAUUAGCUGCUCAGUUAUGGUAUUACCAUACUGUAUUUAUUUACAACGCUUGUACUUGAUUUGUACAUAUUGGAAUCGAGAAUUUAAAUUUAACAUAACACAAUAGAUUUCAAAUAUUUAAAAUGUCA